Long non-coding RNA from Oncorhynchus keta (chum salmon), 2103 nucleotides. RefSeq lists it as uncharacterized. The transcript has 10 exons. NCBI's taxonomy places the organism in Eukaryota, Metazoa, Chordata, Actinopteri, Salmoniformes, Salmonidae. The record is from RefSeq and is a predicted model, not a curated record.
UCUGAUGACUUGGAGUCUGAGCUGUAUAAAGAGAGGCUGUGACAGAGUAGCAGAGGAACACAAGGUCUCAUCUGAUGACAUGGAGUCUGAGCUGUAUAAAGAGAGGAUGUGACAGAGUAGCAGAGGAACACAAGGUCUCAUCUGAUGACAUGGAGUCUGAGCUGUAUAAAGAGAGGAUGUGACAGAGUAGCAGAGGAACACAAGGUCUCAUCUGAUGACAUGGAGUCUGAGCUGUAUAAAGAGAGGAUGUGACAGAGUAGCAGAGGAACACAAGGUCUCAUCUGAUGACUUGGAGUCUGAGCUGUAUAAAGAGAGGAUGUGACAGAGUAGCAGAGGAACACAAGGUCUCAUCUGAUGACAUGGAGUCUGAGCUGUAUAAAGAGAGGAUGUGACAGAGUAGCAGAGGAACACAAGGUCUCAUCUGAUGACAUGGAGUCUGAGCUGUAUAAAGAGAGGAUGUGACAGAGUAGCAGAGGAACACAAGGUCUCAUCUGAUGACUUGGAGUCUGAGCUGUAUAAAGAGAGGAUGUGGCAGAGUAGCAGAGGAACACAAGGUCUCAUCUGAUGACAUGGAGUCUGAGCUGUAUAAAGAGAGGAUGUGGCAGAGUAGCAGAGGAACACAAGGUCUCAUCUGAUGACUUGGAGUCUGAGCUGUAUAAAGAGAGGAUGUGACAGAGUAGCAGAGGACCACAAGGUCUCAUCUGAUGACUUGGAGUCUGAGCUGUAUAAAGAGAGGAUGUGACAGAGUAGCAGAGGAACACAAGGUCUCAUCUGAUGACAUGGAGUCUGAGCUGUAUAAAGAGAGGAUGUGACAGAGUAGCAGAGGAACACAAGGUCUCAUCUGAUGACUUGGAGUCUGAGCUGUAUAAAGAGAGGAUGUGACAGAGUAGCAGAGGAACACAAGGUCUCAUCUGAUGACAUGGAGUCUGAGCUGUAUAAAGAGAGGCUGUGACAGAGUAGCAGAGGAACACAAGGUCUCAUCUGAUGACUUGGAGUCUGAGCUGUAUAAAGAGAGGAUGUGACAGAGUAGCAGAGGAACACAAGGUCUCAUCUGAUGACAUGGAGUCUGAGCUGUAUAAAGAGAGGAUGUGACAGAGUAGCAGAGGAACACAAGGUCUCAUCUGAUGACUUGGAGUCUGAGCUGUAUAAAGAGAGGAUGUGACAGAGUAGCAGAGGAACACAAGGUCUCAUCUGAUGACAUGGAGUCUGAGCUGUAUAAAGAGAGGAUGUGACAGAGUAGCAGAGGAACACAAGGUCUCAUCUGAUGACUUGGAGUCUGAGCUGUAUAAAGAGAGGAUGUGACAGAGUAGCAGAGGAACACAAGGUCUCAUCUGAUGACAUGGAGUCUGAGCUGUAUAAAGAGAGGAUGUGACAGAGUAGCAGAGGAACACAAGGUCUCAUCUGAUGACUUGGAGUCUGAGCUGUAUAAAGAGAGGAUGUGACAGAGUAGCAGAGGAACACAAGGUCUCAUCUGAUGACAUGGAGUCUGAGCUGUAUAAAGAGAGGAUGUGACAGAGUAGCAGAGGAACACAAGGUCUCAUCUGAUGACUUGGAGUCUGAGCUGUAUAAAGAGAGGAUGUGACAGAGUAGCAGAGGAACACAAGGUCUCAUCUGAUGACUUGGAGUCUGAGCUGUAUAAAGAGAGGAUGUGACAGAGUAGCAGAGGAACACAAGGUCUCAUCUGAUGACUUGGAGUCUGAGCUGUAUAAAGAGAGGAUGUGGCAGAGUAGCAGAGGAACACAAGGUCUCAUCUGAUGACUUGGAGUCUGAGCUGUAUAAAGAGAGGAUGUGACAGAGUAGCAGAGGAACACAAGGUCUCAUCUGAUGACUUGGAGUCUGAGCUGUAUAAAGAGAGGAUGUGACAGAGUAGCAGAGGAACACAAGGUCUCAUCUGAUGACUUGGAGUCUGAGCUGUAUAAAGAGAGGAUGUGGCAGAGUAGCAGAGGAACACAAGGUCUCAUCUGAUGACUUGGAGUCUGAGCUGUAUAAAGAGAGGAUGUGGCAGAGUAGCAGAGGAACACAAGGUCUCAUCUGAUGACUUGGAGUCUGAGCUGUAUAAAGAGAGGAUGUGACAGAGUAGCAGAGGAACACAAGGUCUCAUCU